RNAcentral lists this ribosomal RNA (507 nucleotides) under uncultured Candida. RNAcentral's name for it is "eukaryotic LSU rRNA". It matches the Rfam family "Eukaryotic large subunit ribosomal RNA", at positions 63 to 567 of the family's 3401-position model. Lineage: Eukaryota; Fungi; Ascomycota; Saccharomycetes; Saccharomycetales. The record is from RNAcentral.
AACCAACAGGGAUUGCCUCAGUAACGGCGAGUGAAGCGGCAAAAAGCUCAAAUUUGAAAUCUAACACUUUCAGUGUUCGAGUUGUAAUUUGAAGAAAGUUUCUCUGAGUAGUCCUUUAUCUAUGUUCCUUGGAACAGGACGUCAUAGAGGGUGAGAAUCCCGUAUGAUUUUGGAUACUAUUCUUUGUGAGAUUCUUUCGAAGAGUCGAGUUGUUUGGGAAUGCAGCUCUAAGUGGGUGGUAAAUUCCAUCUAAAGCUAAAUAUUGGCGAGAGACCGAUAGCGAACAAGUACAGUGAUGGAAAGAUGAAAAGAACUCUGAAGAGAGAGUGAAAAAGUACGUGAAAUUGCUGAAAGGGAAGGGCUUUAGGUCAGACUUGGUGUUUAAAUGAUUAUCUUCUCUUUUUGAGUUGUGCACUCGUUUUCACUGGGCCAAUAUCAGUUUUGUGGUAGAGCACCUAUUGGAAUGUAGCUUUCUUCGGAUGAGUGUUAUAGCCUUUAGACGAUCUU